This 241-nucleotide ribosomal RNA is filed under the name uncultured bacterium. RNAcentral describes it as "partial 16S ribosomal RNA". It matches the Rfam family "Bacterial small subunit ribosomal RNA", at positions 15 to 248 of the family's 1533-position model. The record is from RNAcentral.
GAUCCUGGCUCAGGAUGAACGCUAGCUACAGGCUUAACACAUGCAAGUCGAGGGGCGAGCAUGAACUUAGCUUGCUAAGUUUGAUGGCGACCGGCGCACGGGUGAGUAACACGUAUCCAACCUGCCGAUGACUCGGGGAUAGCCUUUCGAAAGAAGAUUAAUACCCGAUGGCAUAGUUCUUCCGCAUGGUGGAACUAUUAAAGAAUUUCGGUUAUCGAUGGGGAUGCGUUCCAUUAGUUUG